CCGGCGACCGGCGCACGGGUGAGUAACACGUAUGCAACCUGGCCGUGACAGAUGGAUAACCGGGAGAAAUCCCGCCUAAUACAGCAUGACGCCGGGAAGGGACAUCCCUUUCCGGCCAAAGGGGGCGACUCCGGUCACGGAUGGGCAUGCGGCGCAUUAGGUAGUUGGUGGGGCAACGGCCCACCAAGCCGACGAUGCGUAGGGGUUCUGAGAGGAAGGUCCCCCACAUUGGAACUGAGACGCGGUCCAAACUCCUACGGAAGGCAGCAG
Molecule: ribosomal RNA, 270 nt
Filed under: uncultured bacterium
Lineage: Bacteria
Description: partial 16S ribosomal RNA
Rfam family: Bacterial small subunit ribosomal RNA
Source: RNAcentral